This 76-nucleotide transfer RNA is filed under the name Candidatus Melainabacteria bacterium. RNAcentral describes it as "tRNA-His". It matches the Rfam family "tRNA". Rfam says of the family: Transfer RNA (tRNA) molecules are approximately 80 nucleotides in length. Their secondary structure includes four short double-helical elements and three loops (D, anti-codon, and T loops). Lineage: Bacteria; Bacillati; Candidatus Melainabacteria. The record is from RNAcentral.
GCAGGUAUGGCCAAGUGGUUAAGGCUCCGGAUUGUGGUUCCGGCAUUCGUGGGUUCGAGUCCCAUUACCUGCCCCA